Molecule: ribosomal RNA, 432 nt
Filed under: uncultured bacterium
Lineage: Bacteria
Description: partial 16S ribosomal RNA
Rfam family: Bacterial small subunit ribosomal RNA
Source: RNAcentral
AACGAACGCUGGCGGCAGGCCUAACACAUGCAAGUCGAGCGAGGACUUCGGUCCUAGCGGCGGACGGGUGAGUAACGCGUGGGAACGUGCCCUUUGCUUCGGAAUAGCCCUGGGAAACUGGGAGUAAUACCGGAUGAGCCCUUUGGGGGAAAGAUUUAUCGGCGAAGGAUCGGCCCGCGUUGGAUUAGGUAGUUGGUGGGGUAAUGGCCUACCAAGCCGACGAUCCAUAGCUGGUUUGAGAGGAUGAUCAGCCACACUGGGACUGAGACACGGCCCAGACUCCUACGGGAGGCAGCAGUGGGGAAUCUUAGACAAUGGGGGAAACCCUGAUCUAGCCAUGCCGCGUGAGCGAUGAAGGCCUUAGGGUUGUAAAGCUCUUUCAGCUGGGAAGAUAAUGACGGAACCAGCAGAAGAAGCCCCGGCUAACUCCGU